GCCAGGCAUGGUGGUGCAUGCCUGUAAUCCCAGCUACUCAGGAGGCUGAGGCUGGAGAAUCGCUUGAGCCUGGGAGGCAGAGGCUGCCGUGAGCGGAGAUCGCGCCCCUGCACUCCAGCCUGGGCAACAGAGCGAGACUCCGUCUCAA
Molecule: non-coding RNA, 148 nt
Filed under: Homo sapiens (human)
Lineage: Eukaryota; Metazoa; Chordata; Mammalia; Primates; Hominidae
Source: Rfam by way of RNAcentral